This is a long non-coding RNA of Engraulis encrasicolus (European anchovy), 2232 nucleotides long. RefSeq lists it as uncharacterized. NCBI's taxonomy places the organism in Eukaryota, Metazoa, Chordata, Actinopteri, Clupeiformes, Engraulidae. The record is from RefSeq and is a predicted model, not a curated record. The transcript is spliced from 3 exons.
GCAUGAAAUUUUGACCUUAUGAUGUUUUGGGGCCUUAAAAUGAGUUACUCUGACCUCCUGAAGCCAUCCCAGUGGUUUGCAAUGUGUUACUGUGUACACAGAGCUGUGCUGGAGGUUCCUCCCAGUUUGUAAACAAACUCUGACACAGCAUCCAAUUGACGCAAAGCUCGUGUGUGCCCGAGAUGACGUCAUGCCCUCGUUCGCUCUCAACUCGUCCACGCCCUCUCUCCACCCACUAGCCCGCCCAUUCAUUUGAAAACUCUAUAAAUACCAGCAGAACACCACAUAUGUACUGGUUCAAUGUCUGAGGGAACAUUUUCCGGACAAAUGCUUUCACAAUCUGGGACAAUACAGAGCAAGUUAUGGCUAACACCUGACGCUGAAGUCUGGAUCAAUACCACCAAGCCUCCUGAACAAGUAAGUCAUGAAAAGCUUCCAGUCUGUAUUACAGUGUCAUGGCUAACUAGCCUGCAGUAUUAGCUGUGAAGUGGGGAAAAACCAUACAUUAGCCAAGAAAGCUACACUGUACCAAAAGCAAUAGCCAUACUCUGUCUUAGGUUUUCUUGGGAAAUCGACUGUAAAAUAUAACCAUGGUCUUUUGAACUUACAUAUACAUCAAGCAUGAGCACAAUUUACUAAAUGGUUUCGAUGGAAAUGAAACCUUGACGACCGGGCGAGCGGCUAUGUUAGCCCACCUGCAGUCAAAUAACACAGGCAUCCAGCUAGCUAGCUAACAAGGAAUGUGAUGUUGACAAUUAUUCUAUUACACGCCAAUUUAACAAGACCAAAUUGCUCAACAUUUCGUUGGUUGACCAAGGAGGGUCCUGUGGUUGAAAACAGGGCAUUUUAAACGUUGUUGGUGAAAACACGAUUUAUUAGGAAACCCUUUUUGUUGGCUGUGGUGGUGCGGUACAUAUUCAUUUCGAUUCCCAGACUGUCGCUCCCAACCCCAAUCGCUCCCCGGUCGGCACGCUCCCACUAGCCAGACUAUCGAGCCCACCGCCAUAUAACGGAGCUAGUUAUCUUUUUGAUGUUCGUUUUUUCUUGUUUAUAACCCUAAACUUAACCCUACACCUAACCCUGACUUUAAACCUAAUCCUAAAUUGCUUGUAUGUGGCAGUGAUAAUACGUGAAAUAUAUUCGGGUGGGAUCGAACGUCUGGGAGUGAUAAAACCACCUGGGGCUACACGUCCCGGAGUGAUCUCCGUUGGGAGUGUCCAUCUGCCACCGUUCAUUUUCAUGGAGACUGGUUGUUCGUAGUUUUACCUAGGGAUGUUAUAACUUGAGAUAACAGGUGUUCGAACUAACCGUAUGUUUGGAAAGCCCAGUUGUGACUACACACCAAACUCAUAACAUAGCAUAUUGACCAGGCAAGCCUUUGAUUCGAUUUGGUCACCUAACUAUACCUAGUGUAGAGCGACUGGCCACUGCAUUGAAACGUAGGCUUCAAUGGGUUCAAAGGGUUCUAUUACGGUAAUUACUCAGUGUGCGUGGCUGCACGAACUCAGCUGACACAUCCAACACAGACUUCAAGCAGUUGAUACAGGCUGCUAUUUAGUGGUUGUGACGGCAUUUGAUUGCGUUUUUGUUUUCAUCAUAUAACAAAUUUGGCGUAACCUCUGGUAGGUACACAGAAUACAGCAGUCGGAUCACUUGUCUAGCUUACCUUGCUCCAGUGCAGGCAGCUGUGUUACGUGUGAGUAGCUAUGCAACCUGCUCCCACUGUCUGUCAUUUUUUCAUUCCUAUCCGUGAAUAGCUUGGAAAGCCGGAUGCAGUCGAAUAUUGGGUUUAUGUUUCCUUGACAUUUAUGUCUCUCUUCUGACUCAGACAAUUUUCUUGUAUAGAAUUUGAGAGGCUUAUUGUGGAUCAUGGAAAGUUAUAUUCUGUAUUUUUUCCUAAUGGCCGCAAUUCUCAUCUUCAGAAGUUCCUGUUACAGACGGUCAUGAUGAGUAGAAGAAGGCAACAUGAUGAAGCAAAACUCCAUCACCACUACGUUGGAGUCUUCCCAUUCAGUCAUCAUCCAAUUUGCUCCAAAGAAUCACAUACAAGCAGACGCUUCUUACAGAUGGCUGUCCUCUAGAAUGAAAAUGCACACCAACCACCGGCAAACAUCAAAAGCUAAUCCAACCUUUGGCUUUGUGUGGAAAGGUCUUCGGAAACCCUGUGACUGACGCAAUGUUGGUGCCCUAGAAGACAAGUCAGCACAGUUCAGACGAGCCAGCCAGAGGAGG